AUUGUACCUUAUAAAAUCACUAUAGCUUGAUAUUUAGUUAUUUAAAAAUACAAAUUGGAGAUUAUUCGAAAUAAUGUUUUUGACGAAUGCCCCUAAUAGUGAACAAUAUACUUUAUAUUAUUAGCAAUUUCGUAGACGAACAUUGGACCGAAUAAUAUUUCGGAUUAAAAACCACCGUAGUUUUCAUUAAGUAUUACGAUUUUCCCGGAUCCUAUAGAGAUAGACAGUAUUUAUGUAUUUUAUUUUCCGUUUAAUUUUUUCCCCUUCACUAUUAACGGGUUUUUUUCUGUUUCAGGCAAAAUUUCAG
Cinara cedri is the source of this 307-nucleotide non-coding RNA. NCBI's taxonomy places the organism in Eukaryota, Metazoa, Arthropoda, Insecta, Hemiptera, Aphididae. The record is from the annotation of a GenBank genome assembly.